CUGUUUAUCAAAAACAUAGCUUAUUGGGAAAAAAUAAUAAGUGCAUUCUGCCCACUGUUUAUAAUUAACGGCCGCGUUAUUUUGAGCGUGCAAAGGUAGCAUAAUAAUUUGUUUUUUAAUUAGAAACUGGAAUGAAUGGAAAGACGAGGUUUAAGCUGUCUCACUUCGAAAGGUAAAAAUUAACCUCCAGGUGAAGAGGCCUGGAUUUUUAUGAAAGACAAGAAGACCCUGUCGAGCUGGCCUAAAUUUAAGUUAUAGGUUAAUUGGGGCGAUUUGAGAGAAAAUAAUCCUCUCUUUUUAGAAGAGGAGCUCUUUUAUAUGAUCCGAAAAUUUCGAACAAAGAUAAGCUACCGCAGGGAUAACAGGCUAAUUUUUUCUUAGAGUACAAAUUCACGAAAAAGUUUGGCACCUCGAUGUUGGCUUGGGGUACUAUUUUAAUGUAGAAGUUAAGAGAAGUGGUUUGUUCAACCAUAAAACCCCCACGUGAUCUGAGUUCAGACCGG
Molecule: ribosomal RNA, 503 nt
Filed under: Anguillosyllis sp. MTA-2011
Lineage: Eukaryota; Metazoa; Annelida; Polychaeta; Phyllodocida; Syllidae
Description: partial 16S ribosomal RNA
Rfam family: Bacterial large subunit ribosomal RNA
Source: RNAcentral